RNAcentral lists this long non-coding RNA (7813 nucleotides) under Trifolium pratense (red clover). RNAcentral's name for it is "long non-coding RNA (TPRA_LNC011832)". Lineage: Eukaryota; Viridiplantae; Streptophyta; Magnoliopsida; Fabales; Fabaceae. The record is from RNAcentral.
UUGACAGGGUUUGGGUUUUACGAGCCUUUCUGGCUUAUCGACUUUGCCAAUGUUUGCAUUAUCAUUCAUUUGGUUGGAGGAUAUCAGGUAAAUAAUGUAAAUAAAUUACUAAUAUACUCCUCCCGGUCUCAUAUAUACGCAAAGAUUCUUCUUUAAGGUUCAUUGAAUAAUUGAUGGAUCUGGUCCGUAAUACGGACCAGAUAUAACAUGAAAAAUGAAUAUUUACUUAUAUAUGAGACCAGGAAUAUAGAACAAUUAUAUUCACUGUUUUCUUAUGUUACCUAUUAUUUAUACAUAUGCUUCAUUUGUAUGAUCUUCUCAACAGAUAUACAGUCAACCAAUAUAUAGUACUAUUGAUAGAUGGUGUUCAAAAAAAUUCCCCAAGAGUGGCUUUGUGAAUGAUUUUCGCAAAGUGAAACUUCCUCUAUUACCUGCUUUUAAGAUCAAUCUAUUCAGGUUUUGUUGUAGAACAAGCUAUGUGAUUUCAACAACAGGACUUGCAAUUUUAUUUCCUUACUUCAACCAAAUCUUAGGAGUAUUAGGAGGCAUAAAUUUCUGGCCAUUGGCGAUAUAUUUUCCAGUGGAAAUGUACUUUGUACAGAAGAAGAUUGAAGCUUGGAGUACACAAUGGAUUGUUCUCAGAUUAUUUAGCUUUGCUUGCUUUCUUGUCACAGUGAUGGGAUUUAUUGGGUCAUUUGAAGGAAUCAUACGUGCUAAACUUAGCUAAAAAAAGGUUUAUGCACAUUAUCACUUGCCAAUGGUUAUUUUAUUUUGGUUAUAGAGUGAUUCCUGUAAGUUUGUUUCAUAUCAUGUAAUAUUAGUGUUUUCCAGAUUUAGAAACGUAUUAAGCUAUGAAAUAAUUCGAGUUGCUUGAUGCAUCAUUAUCUUCAAAGAAAAAGUUCCACCAAAAGUUUUAAUUAUCAUUGUACUAGCUAUUUUUUGUUUGCUUAUAUUUACAUUUUAUAUAUUUUGGUAGUUAUAUUAAAAAAAAAGUGUAAAAUUUGGUAUGAUACAAAAGAUGCAAAGUGCAGAAGUAUUGAACAUGUACUUGUUACGUGGUUCGAUUCCUAGGCAAAAAAUCUACUAAAAAGGAGAUAGAGAAGAUCUUGAGGUACAAUGUCGGAAUUGCCUACUAAAUACGUAGAAAAUGGGCACGGGGCCUAACAAAUAAUAUAAGAAAUUCACAGCAAAAAGAUUAAAAAAACAAAAAGUACAAAGUGCAAAACAGCACGAACAAUCAAUCCCCUUUAAUGAUUUUGCGGGGUAUACACUUAGCUAGAUGGUGUUCUAAAUCUAAGUCUGAGAGUAUGUAUGCAUGUAUGUAGAAUGUCGUGAUCAUUUAGAGAUAAUAGGGGUCCUGUAUAUAAGCUAGGAUACAAUGGUCCCAGGCGAGACACCCUCUCCUGCAUCCUGGAGCCACUAACUCCAUUAUUCUAGGAGUUUUAGUUAUCCCACGUGAGCUAUAACUUCGGUCUUAUCUUCUCAGGGUUAGGGAUAUUUCGUUGAUACCCUAGGCGAGUAUCUUAACUUAGUCUUUUUGGGCCUCCUCUAAAGUGGCCCGUUUGGGCGUAUUGGGCUUAAUCNNNNNNNNNNNNNNNNNNNNNNNNNNNNNNNNNNNNNNNNNNNNNNNNNNNNNNNNNNNNNNNNNNNNNNNNNNNNNNNNNUUAAUCGAAUGGUACCCCGAUAUUUUGUUUGGUACACAUUCAAAUCGUAACUAAAGCCUUUUUGCUAGACUUCAACCACCACCGAGAUAUAGUUUUCACCUUAUCAAAAGGCACCUCGACCGGUACUUGCUUGUGAGCAAAAACUCCAUUAUUUUUUCUUUCCAAAUGAUCCAACAACUAGUCAACCACACAACUUGAAUACCCGAAUGAACUUCUUUGCCAAACACAAAAGAAUUACAAAAUUGCAAAGCAUGAUUCAACAAUAAUUUAGUUUAUAUAAAAUUUACGGUAUUCCAAAAUUUUCUUCCUAAUGGCUUGCUUAUGUUCAACAACACUGAUAAUGAGUUGAUUAUUUUUUAUUUCAGAACCUGAAAUUGCGCAUAGGACAAUUGUAUAAUAUGUAAGUAAUUUUGAGUAUGGUAUAACUUUUUGAAUUAAAGUUUGCACCCCAGAACCAAGGUCCUGGCUCUGCCACUGGUUUAAUAGCCUCCAAGCAAAGGUCGACAUCUUCAACGGGACAACCUUAUUCCAUAAAACCUCUUUAUCCUCGUACAUCAUAGAAGGGACAACAUGAGAUAAUAAUUGAUAAGUGCAUCUCACUGAAUAUUCAAAGUCAGGGUCAGGUAGUCAAAUUCACUUAUCUUGGACGUUGACCUGCAAAAAAUACAUGUUGCAAAAUAGCACCACGCUCCCUAAUCAACUCCUCCAUUCAAGCAAAAAGACGCCUACGCCAUCUCUAACCCUAAUCCUCCACAUUUUAAUGAAGAAUUUUUUUAUAAAAGUUUCAAAUGAAAAAUUGAUUUUGAUUUUUUAUUUUUUUGACAAUCAAUGAAAAAUUGAUUUAAAUAGCUUAUCUUGUAAUGUCGCUUUAAAUAUUUCAUCAUUUAAGUCAUUAGAUUUGGUUUAGUGAUGAGAGAUUUGGGUAGUAUGCAUGAGGUCUUGGGUUCGAUCCUCAUUGACGUUGUAAACCAAAAAAAAAUCAUCAUUUUGUAAAAAUAAAAAAAAGAUUUUUGUGAAAAGUUGUUAAAAAAGAAUCUAUUUUAACAACUUUUCACAAAAAUCAUUUUUGAGAGAUUUUUUUUUAAAAAAAUGUACCUUUUAUUUUUAUUAAGCUAAAAUUUAUUAGAUAAAUAUUUAAGUUAUUGAAUGUCAAAAUCAUUAUUUUAAUUUAUAAAAAAAUGAAUUUUAAAUAACUUUUAUGAUUUUUAAUAAAAUUAUCAUAAAAAAUCAUUCUUUAAUUUUUAAAAAAUUUAAAGCUAUUUUUCAUUUGUUUACUAUCAUAAAAAUGUGAGGCAUAAUGCCCAUUCAAACUAGGGGUGAUCGUAUCCGAAUCAAUUCAAAAGUAAAACCGCUAACCGAACCAAUAAAAAUCAAAACUGCAUUUAAUGUGAACCGCACGGAUCAUUUUUCUUCUAAAUCGCGUGGUCUGGUUUGCAGUUUUCAUUUCAGAAAACCAAACCGUAAUACUUAACUUAACUCUAUCAACUAGUAGCAAUCAACCUAUUACGUAGUCCAACUUAGGAAGUCCAACCUAAAUUGAGUCCAUAAAACAGUAGGCUGUCAAAACAUAUCAUUUCACGCGAUCCAGAACUAUAUUGUUGGUAUUAAAAAUAAAUUCUGAUGUAUAUGCAAUUUUGUAUAUGCAUAAUCAUGUAAACAAUAAAAUAAAUUAAAAUUUACUAAACCGCACAAAUCGAACCAUCCCUAACCGCAUUGGUUUGGUUUGGAUGAAUUUUUAAAAACCAACCGAAUUAAACCGAACCGCAUAUAUUUUUAUCUCGCUGUUAGGAAACCGAACCAAACCGCACCGCACUACGACACCCCUAAUUCAAACCUAGGUCCAAAAUGGACUGAAGUUGUUGUGAGAGAUUGCCUAAUAGGAGGGAAUCUAUUGAUCAUGGCAUAAUGAGGUGUGAAUGUGUGAUGCGCCUGAGAAGUGUCCAGUUGAGAAAGAGAUGAUAUAUAGUACCUAGAAAUAUUGGUUAAAUCUUCCCAGACUUUUUUUCUCUCUUACUAUAUUCUGUAUUUGCUACUUGUAAUUUACAGGCUGUGGUUUUCCACCAUUAAUAUAUUGAGUUUACUUUUCUAUAUGAGUAAACUAUCAAAUACCCCUGAAAUUUUAAAAUUCGUCAAAUACCCCCUGAAAUUUGAAAAUAGGCAAAUGCUCUCAUGAAAUUUUAAAAAACCACUCAAAUUGCCCCCUGACUGGACUCUGACUGGUAGUGACGGGGGGUAAUUUGAUUGACUUUUAAAAAUUUCAGGAGGUAUUUGCCUAUUUCCAAAUUUCAUGAGGAUAUGUGACGAAUUUUAAAAUUUCAUGUUUACUCUUUCUAUCUUUGUAUAUUUCAUGUGCUAACUAACAAAUGCUUACGUAACAAAAUACUAAAAUAGUUUAAAUUUAGGCAUACACAAGGCAAAACAAAUGACCUAUAAAAUACAAACAUAAGUUAAUUAACACACUUAAUAUAUGGAGAUGAAAAUCUGGAGAAUUGAUUAAUUAAAUGUCAUUAACCAAAAUUUCCUAAAAAUAAGAUAACAGAGAUAUCUGAUGAUUUAAAAAACAAAGAGAGGGAUAUAAAAACGGUACUUGAGUGCCAUAUCCAACAGUUUUCCAUAAGAGCAAGAAACUCAAAGUUUAAAAUUAGAAAAUAAAAUAUAAAAAACAGAGUUAGAAAGGGAAUAAAGAAAACAGGGGAGAAAGAAUUCCAAGUGAGUAGUGUUUAUGAAAAUAAAUGUGCAUUGUUUGAUUAAACUUAAACUAUGAAUUGUCGCAUGCAAAUUUAUUUACAUUGUUCAAACUUCGAAUGAGUUAUUUUUCAAUAUGGUUUUAUGCUCCAUCUUUUCUCCUUUGUUAUUGUCAUUGGUAUUAAUAUUACUUAAUAUANNNNNNNNNNNNNNNNNNNNNNNNNNNNNNNNNNNNNNNNNNNNNNNNNNNNNNNNNNNNNNNNNNNNNNNNNNNNNNNNNUGGGCCCAGGCAUUAUUCCCAUUUUGUGUGAGUCUAAAUUCAUAUCUGAUUGGCUCUAAUAUAAUCGAGAAAGAUUAUUGUAGAAAGGAAAAGAAAAACUUCAUUUGAAUUUACUGUUUUACAUUUUUUUUAUAAUAAAAGGAUUUCAAAAAAUUCACUAUGUGACUAAAAAUAUACUAAAUAAAAAUAUUAUGAUAACUAAAUUAAUUAAAAAUAUCUUUAAAAUCAAGUUAUUGUUUACCAACCCAAUCCAAUAUAUUUGGUUUCUGAAUAAUGGCCAUUUGGAUCUCUCAAUCACUUUGUUUUUUCUGAAAUGGAAAUAUGGAAUCACACCAAACUAGUAACCGAUCUGGUUGACAGGUUAAUCUAAUUAUAGGCAUUUUAUGUUUCAAGCAACUUCAUAUGCAAUUUUUAAUGUUACAUUACAUACUCAAACAAGUUAUUCUCCAUUCUCACAAGUGAUUGAAUGUAGGUGAAUUUACAAUUUUUGAAUGUAGAGAAUCUAAAUUCGAUAUAGAUUCCUUCGGCCAAAACUCAAAAGUGACGACAGGGUUAAUCUUGACCAUUCAAAUAAUUGAUUCUGAACCUUUUAUUUUUAUUUUACUAUAAGUAUAGUUUUUGUUGAAAGCGGGAAGAUUUGGAUCCUCUCCGGUUUUUUUAUAGGGAGCUUCUACGGUACAUUCGAAUAAUUUGAAUGUAUCGGUACAUCAAGUCAGUAAAUUGAUAAAUUAACGAUUAUUUUUAUGAAUUAAAAAACUAUUAACCGAUUAUUAUAUUUUAAAAAUAAUAAUAUCACAAGAAAAAACACGAUAUAUUGUUUAUAAGCAUGAUACUAAUUUUUCUAAUAUUUUCUUAGAAAAAAAAUUCAAUAUUGACUAUAAUGAUGAAUAAAAAUUCAAAAAAUAUCAAAUUUAAUAUUUUUGCCAAUUUUGAUGAAUAAUAUUUAGUUACUAUAAUCAUUUUAAUGAUAAGAAAAAUGAUUUCCUUUAAAAAAUAUUCAUUUACAUAUUAAUUUAAUUACCUGAUGUACCGGUACAUUAAGAAUUAUCACAUGUACCAUAGAAUUUGCCUUUUUUAUAUUUAGUCCUCGCUCAUUUUUUUUUUCUAAUCCAAUGGUUAAUUGAACCACAAAAUUAAAAAAACAAAACAAAGAAAAAGAAGACAGAAUAAUGUCUUUAGCAUAAUUCAUAUUAACUUUACUAUGUCUUUAUAGUUUUUAGCUCAGGCUUUUCUAUCAUAUGCAGCAAACUGCAUGAGCUUCCAUUGAAUUAUAUACUUGAAUAAAGAUGGAUGUGAAAAACUCUCUCCAAUUAACGACUACUUCCGGUGCCUAUGAUGAUGAUGGACGUCCGAAAAGAACCGGUGAAGUUCUCUACAGCAUAUAACCAUUGAAUUAUAUACAAGAAUUUGAACAUUGAAGUUUUUUUUAUUCUGCAGGAAAUUUACAGAGUGCCGUGGCUCAUAUCAUAACCGCGGUUAUAGGUUCCGGUGUUUUGUCUUUGGCGUGGAGUAUUUCUCAAUUAGGAUGGAUUGGAGGGCCAAUUGCCUUGCUUUGUUGUGCAAUAGCUACAUAUGUUUCUUCAUGUCUUUUGGCUGAUUGUUACAGAAAUCCUGACUCUAUAACUGGGAAAAGAAACUACUCUUUUAUGGAUGCUGUUAGAGUAAAUCUUGGUAAGAACACAUUAAACUCUUCACUAUUUGCAAUCACUAUGCUAACACAGAUAUGCUUUUCAUGAACUACCAACAAAUUAUAACUUCAAAAUGAGUUUAAUGCUUGUUCAGGUGAGAAAAGGACAUAUGCAGUUGGUUUCCUUCAAAUUAUGAGCUUGUAUGUGACCAGUACUGCCUAUGUAAUUACAGCGGCAACAAGUAUGAGGUAAUUCUCCUGUUGGACCACUCAUCAAAUGCUGGUGGGAACAAUUUUUGGUGUGGCUUUAUUUACUUUGCGGCCAAACUCUGGAUUACCGGGGACCCUUUCCCCUGGAAACCAGAGGGUUAAUACCAAAAAAAAAGAAUUAUAUGUUAUUUUUUUGCCAACAAGAUAAUGACACAUGUUUAUGCUACUAAUUAAUACAGGGCUAUUAUGAGAUCGAAUUGUUAUCACGAGGAAGGGCAUGAUGCACCUUGUAAAUAUGGGGGUAAUGUGUAUAUGAUGUUGUUUGGACUAGUUCAGGUUGUAAUGUCAUUCAUACCAGAUCUCCAUAGCAUGGUAUGGGUUUCUAUUGUUGCUACAAUAAUGUCCUUUGCAUACUCGUCAAUUGGACUUGGACUUGGCUUAGCGACAAUCAUAAGUAAGCCUCAUCUUCACUCAAUUUCUAUCAAUUAAAGAUUUAUGAAAAAUAUUAUUAUCCUAAAAUCCAUAUCUUGCUACUAUAUUGAUGCAGAAAAUGGACGAUUUAUGGGAAGUAUGACAGGAGUACAGACUGCAAAUGUUGCCGACAAAAUCUGGUUAAUCUUCCAGGCACUUGGUGACAUUAGCUUUUCCUAUCCAUACUCAAUGCUUUUUCUUGAGAUACAGGUAACAAAACAUUUCAUAUUCAAAAUGAAUAAGUAAGUAAAGGGUGAUUGAUAUAAAGCAGAAAGAAAAAAGACUAUAUCUGAAACAAAUUAUUGAAUUUUGUUGAUUAAAGGACACUCUAGAGUCUCCUCCAGCAGAGAAUAAAACGAUGAAAAAGGCCUCCAUGAUUUCAAUCUUCAUUACAACAUUCUUCUACCUAUGUUGCGGAGGCUUUGGAUAUGCAGCUUUUGGAGAUGCUACACCAGGAAAUCUCUUGACAGGGUUUGGGUUUUACGAGCCUUUCUGGCUUAUCGACUUUGCCAAUGUUUGCAUUAUCAUUCAUUUGGUUGGAGGAUAUCAGGUAAAUAAUGUAAAUAAAGAUUCUUUUUUCAGGUUCAUUGAAUAAUUUGUGUAUCUGGUCUAUAUCACUGACCAUAUAUAUAUAUAUCAGUCAUUCAAUGAACCUGAAAAAGAAAUUUUUGCUUAUAUACGAUACCAGAAGGAGUAUAAAAAAAUUAUAUUCACUGUUUUCUCAUUUGUAUGAUCUUGUGAACAGAUAUACAGUCAACCAAUAUAUAGUACUAUUGAUAGAUGGUGUUCAAGAAAAUUCCCUAAGAGUACCUUUGUGAAUGAUUUUCACAAAGUGAAACUUCCUCUAUUACCUGCUUUUAAGAUAAAUCUAUUCAG